Molecule: ribosomal RNA, 253 nt
Filed under: uncultured bacterium
Lineage: Bacteria
Description: partial 16S ribosomal RNA
Rfam family: Bacterial small subunit ribosomal RNA
Source: RNAcentral
UACAGAGGGUGCAAGCGUUAAUCGGAAUUACUGGGCGUAAAGCGUGCGUAGACGGUUAUGUAAGUCAGAUGUGAAAGCCCCGGGCUUAACCUGGGAGUGGCAUUUGAGACUGCAUAGCUAGGGUGCGGAAGAGGGAAGCGGAAUUUCCGGUGUAGCGGUGAAAUGCGUAGAUAUCGGAAGGAACACCAGUGGCGAAAGCGGCUUCCUGGUCCAGCACCGACGUUCAGGCACGAAAGCGUGGGGAGCAAACAGG